GAGCGAAACGCCCCUCGGGGCGUCGUCCGGACGUUGUGGUCCGGGCCUGAUGAGCAGCUGGAG
Molecule: non-coding RNA, 63 nt
Filed under: Puniceibacterium sp. HSS470
Lineage: Bacteria; Pseudomonadati; Pseudomonadota; Alphaproteobacteria; Rhodobacterales; Paracoccaceae
Source: RNAcentral